AGAGUUUGAUCAUGGCUCAGAGCGAACGCUGGCGGCAGGCCUAAUACAUGCAAGUCGAACGGCUCUUCGGAGCAGUGGCGGACGGGUGAGUAACGCGUGGGAACGUGCCCUUUGGUUCGGAACAACACAGGGAAACUUGUGCUAAUACCGAAUGUGCCCUUCGGGGGAAAGAUUUAUCGCCAUUGGAGCGGCCCGCGUUGGAUUAGCUAGUUGGUGGGGUAAAGGCCCACCAAGGCUACGAUCCAUAGCUGGUCUGAGAGGAUGAUCAGCCACACUGGGACUGAGACACGGCCCAGACUCCUACGGGAGGCAGCAGUAGGGAAUCUUGCGCAAUGGGCGAAAGCCUGACGCAGCCAUGCCGCGUGAAUGAUGAAGGUCUUAGGAUUGUAAAAUUCUUUCACCGGGGAAGAUAAUGACGGUACCCGGAGAAGAAGCCCCGGCUAACUACGUGCCAGCAGCCGCGGUAAUACGUAGGGUGCGAGCGUUAAUCGGAAUUACUGGGCGUAAAGGGCGCGUAGGCGGACAUUUAAGUCAGAGGUGAAAGCCCAGGGCUCAACCUUGGAAUUGCCUUUGAUACUGGAUGUCUUGAGUUCGGGAGAGGUGAGUGGAAUGCCGAGUGUAGAGGUGAAAUUCGUAGAUAUUCGGCGGAACACCAGUGGCGAAGGCGACUCACUGGCCCGAUACUGACGCUGAGGCGCGAAAGCGUGGGGAGCAAACAGGAUUAGAUACCCCGGUAGUCCAA
RNAcentral lists this ribosomal RNA (742 nucleotides) under uncultured bacterium. Its description in RNAcentral is "bacterial SSU rRNA". It matches the Rfam family "Bacterial small subunit ribosomal RNA", at positions 8 to 798 of the family's 1533-position model. The record is from RNAcentral.